UUUUUUAUUUGUUUCUGUUUUCUAUUAUUUUGUAAUUUUAGGGCUUUAAUAAAAAACCAAAACAAUCUCAAAAUUCAUGAAACUGCUCAAGGCUACUAUUUGGAAUAAUUCCAACAGUAAACAUUUUAGUUCAUGAAUAUUUGGACAUUUAAAAUAUUAUAUAGCAUUCAAAUGCCCAAAUGCAAAUAGCAUAUGAGUUAAUUCAGUGACCUUAAGAUGACCUAGAAAAUUGUGAACCAAUUUUGUCAGAUGUUCUAACCCAAGACAAAAAUGAUGGACAUUUUAGAAGGGCAUUUCAGGUUCAUUGAAAAUGAUUUUAGUAAACCCUAGUUGGUUUCAAAGGGGGUGCUGGGGGUUCUGUCAUCCCCAUUUCAACUUUCUGUGAAAAGUAAUCAUGAUUCACACAUGAAGGGCUAGCCUAGUGCAUACCAGAACUAGGGAUGUGACAACUGGCCCCUACUAAACAAGAAUCUCGUCCCGAGAUUCAAGCGUAGGGUAAGACGACAGAGGGACACCAGCUAACACCAUCUUCAUGAUCCAGAUGUCUUUCUCGAGGAUGUUGAUUCAUUGCAUCACCUUGAUCUCGACGUCUUGAUUUGAGAACUACAUCCAACAUGACAACGAGUAGAAAGGGAGAAUUUUAGAAGAAUCGAUCUUCCUGAGGUUCGAGCAGCUUAGGACCAUCUUAAUGGUCACAAGAUCAAUUCACGGAAUGAGACAUAGAAACACCUCUGGAACUGAGAGGCAAAACAUGCAUCAGGAGGGACGGAAGAAACAGUUGGACAAGGGUUUCAAGGUAGCGAGGAAAAAUUGCCAUGAUUCCAUAACGGGGCACCUUGGGAGGGGUGACUCGUAGAAAUAUCCCCUUAAGUGGCAAAAGAAUUACUUUUGAUUCAGAGAUCAUUGAAAUUCUCUAUACCAGCCUAAGGCAAUUCCCAAACGAUCGUUUGAAGGAGUUCGGAGAAAUGGCAUACUCAGUUCGGAAGGAAACUAGAGUUACAAAACAACUCAGCAAGCGGAGAACACAUUCCAGAUGAUGUCGAGGAUAUAACCUAGUGACUGAGUGUGCUCUCAAGAACUUGAGCAUUUCCGUAUUCAUCAAGGUUUUACCAACAUCCGUGGCAAGGAUCCUGGCAACACGACAUCCUACCAUGAUGACUAGUGAUGGAAGAUGCAGAUGCAAAGGAAGACAACACUUUCUCAGAUUUGUCCUUAGCAAUGCCAAGGAACAAAACAUGGAUGAUCGACCGAGAGACAUUUAGCACUCCGCUUCUAAUGUUCUCCUUGAUGUACCAGCUUAACCCAAUACCGUUCGGUAUCUGGAACAUCAGGUAAAGGUCUGACUUCGGGAGCUCAAGGAACCCAUAAGGAACAACUUAUGUUCAAAUUCAUACCAACUCCUCAUGGAAGAAUGGCCAAAUUGCUGACUCAAGAUACUACAAUAAGAGAUCUCCCGGAUAAGUGUGUUGGCCAUGACAUGCACUUAACGGUUCAAAAGACCAAUAUUAUAAUUCUUGGGAACGUCCCAACCAUCAUAUCUGCCUGAGAUUCGGAUUUGCUUGGUGUCAGGAUAUUCCAGACUCAGCUUGUCUGGAAGGAAAGUUCGCAACACAAAUCGACGAGAUGACGUUGCGAGAUUCUCAGGAAACGGACUACGGUAGUAAGCUCCAAAACAUGAGCUGGUUCUGCUACACACAUGUGAGCACGCUGUCCCAGACAAGCAUGACCAUGUAGCAGUCUUAUAAUAAAACACUACCGAGUUCAUGUGGGGAACCAUCAUUGAGGAUAUCAAAGUCCUUGCAUAAGGCAUGCUCUUAAGAAGGAACUUCUUCUCCUUGAACAAGUCAUUCAGUGGCUUGGUGUACUAGGAGAUACAUAUGGAAUGGAGGUAGCGAGCCUGUCAAACCAUAGCAUACUUCGUACAUGAUGAAUGACUUGGGAUGGUACCAGAGGAAACAAAAACAAUCUUUCUCGAACUCACGGUGGCAACUUGCACCAAAUGCACAUGAAUUCUAGGAAGUCACUUCUUCCAUCCAAGCAUAAGCUUCAUGAACGGAACACGAAGGCAUUGCUUACAAAGUUUCCAACACUAGGUUGAUGUUCAACAUGAAUCAUGGGGGAGACAAAAUGCUGCUGAUGGGCUCAACAGCAACUCAUCGGAAUUUCCAUAUCACUGGACUUCCACCAUCAGGUGAACACGGUGAUAGCAUUGGUCAGACCAAAAGAUGUAAUGGUGUAUGCUCGGGGGAUCAACCACGAGUAAGACAACAUUACGAACAUCGUUGGUUCUGAUUUGACUUGACGAUAGCCCAUACUCAAGUCAAAGUUUUGUCAAGGCAAUAGAUCCAACAACUGAUCACGAGGACCAAUCGAUGGAGAUAUCAUCUUUCUUCAACACACACACACACACACACAAAAAGAUAUCCCUUAACAUGAACUAAGUCAGACAAGCUUUUAUCUUCCAACUCUCCAAGUUGUUGUUUGGCUUAACCAACUAGCUUAGGGGUAUCCAACACAGAUUCUUGGAGAAUGGGUGGUUUGGAGGAAAACCUACAUGAUCACGAACUCAACAUAGUGGUCAGGUGACAACCUGGUAAUACUUUCGAGAAGAUAUUCGGAACAUCAUGAACCACCAAUAUGUUACUAAGCUCGAGAACAAUCUUGCUUUUCAGAGCAACACGAUAUGAUCAAAUAAGCAAGGGAUUGAAUAAUCCUAACUCAUUGAUCGAAGAGUGCACCAGAAAUAAGGACUAGGUAGCACAAUCUAUCUUAGAAUGAUGAUUCAAUAACCAACACGCUAAGAAUGAGAAUAUUGUCCAUUUACUACCAAGCAACUAGUUGCUAGGAGUAUUGAUUUCACACAUCACGGUUCACUUGUCGGUAUUUCAGUUGCAACAACACGGAACCGAGGAGCGAAUGAUGAUGGCGAGAAUUAUCACUGCAUCAAGAAUUCAUAAGAGUUGGUGCAAUUAUCAUGACAUUCCUGACAUGAAGAGGGCAAUACUUCAGGGUAAAACAGAACCAAAAUCUGGAUUGGCAUUUUGAUCUGCGAAAUACAACUACUUUGACCCAAUCCUAGAUAUGGAUGAGGUACUGGAGUUUGUUUCUCCUAGUCAUUCUGAAAUAGAAUGGCUUGACGGACCACUAGAGUAAUAGGCAUCGAGAAACACGAUUGCCAACUACUCCUUACUAUCAAUUGACAGCCGAGGGCCAGAAAAUAACUAAAGAGGGACAACUCAAAGGAACAUAUAAUUUUCUGAGUUAUGGAGGCAUGGAUUAGCAUGUCGAAGGAGUUCAACAUAUUUCUUCCAGAUAACCCAUGCAGAAAGGUUGAACUGGCAGAGUCACAAUAUAGAAUGGAGAACUCAUCGAGAGCAGUCCUGUUGUGAUCUUUUGAUCCAACAAACUUCUGCCAUAAGUGGUUCAUAGUAUUUGGAAGAAGGACUUACCACGGACCUUGAGGACUAUCGCAAAGGUUACUAAUAUCCUAAAGGUACGAGGAACACUAUCAACACGAGGUAAGUAGAGUGAAUCUUGGGUCAAGAACCCAGGAGUAGAAUACCUACUACUAAGUAGCAUCAUGGGAUGCUUUCGAGAGUAAUGGCCAGAAUCAUCACACCGGGAACACAAAACAUGGCUAGAUUACUAGGUGACUCCCUAAAACACCUGGGUCAUAAUAAUAGCUCCAACAUAUAUGUCGAGGCAAUAGAGUACCUCAACUCACCGAUUAGUGUGAUUAAUCUGGCCCAAAUGGACAUCGGGAAACAUGGAGGAAUGAUUGCAAGUGCAUCAGACUAUCUAGAAACCUGGGAUGACUCAGACAGCAUAACGGCUGUAAAUGCUCAAAAUGAUUUGAGACAUCCUGCAAAAUGGUGGCAUAACCACUCAGAAGCACAAUAUCAAGGUUCCGAGACCAACUAUGAACACAUGGAAGUAGAAACUGAACUGGGGCUUAAAUCCAUCAAUCCUAUAAGUCUCUAUCAUAGCAACUCGUCAUCCUGAUAGAUAGAUGAGAAAGCCUAGUUCUUAAUACCCGUAGAAAAGAAGUGGAUGACUCAGAUCAGAAGGGCAUGAGAUAUAAGGAGUAAAAAGAGCCUUACGUUCCCUUCCCCAAUCAAUUCCCUUACAUAACUAAAGCAUUUCUAGACACAACUUCGACCAGUUUGGCUUGGUAAUCCUACAGGCAAUCAGGCUCUGAUACCAAAGCUGUCAGGACCUCGAUUCCAAGUCACAUCGAUCUAGCCGGUAACACCUCAUAUCACUUUGCGGCCUCACGCACGGUAUUCCCACGGGUGUCGCCUUACCAUGGCCCGGGACCGUUUGCGCCUUUUGGCUCACGUAUAUGAUAGUGUCACUAGCAUCCAUAUGACAAAGAACCCAGGCCGACAUGACUAGUCAUGAACCCAAAGUGGCACUAACUUACGGGGACAGGCAUACAUGAAUCAACAUCGAGCAUGUCGGUCAGCAGCGUGUGAAUCCGGGCUCUAGCACUGGACUAACAGGACUCCGGUGAACCGGGCUGUAGCAGGCUAGGCAGGACUCCAGAUGUCACCGCGUGACAUUUCCCCGAAGGGACAUACACAGGAACGAAGUGAAUCACAUGCCGGCCAGUCAAGUGUUCCGGAGCAGUAGUGCUGGGCUAGCAGGACUCUGGUGAACCGGGCUGUAGCGGACUACUAUGGCUCAUGGAAGCACAAGACUACAUUUCCCCAUAAGAGAGGCUACCAAGGAUAAACAACUAGGUCGUCGGAUCCCACACAUACCAAGCAUUUCAAUCAUACACACAAUAUGCUCGAUAUGUGUAAAUACAACAUGGCAUCACAACAAAACUCUACGACUGAAAGUAUUUAUUCAUUAGGCUCCGAGGAGCCAAGUAUUACAAACAUGGGUCUCAUGACCCCAACAUACAGAGCAUACAAACAAUUGCGGAAGCUUAACUUGUCUGAGUACAGACAACUACAAAUGAAGAAGGCUGAGAAGCCUGACUAUCUACAAGACCCUGCUGAGGGCACAAGAUCGUAGCUGAGGUAACAAGCUAAACAUCGAAGUCCAUGCGGAAACUACUAACAAGACUGACGUCUCUCUGCAAAAUCAUAAAAUAGGCAAACGUGAGUACAAAUGUACCCAGCAAGACUUCCAUCAGAACUAACUACACAUGCAUCGGUAUCAACAAUGGGGGGUAGUGGAGUUUAACUGCAGCAAGCCAGCUUUGACUCAGUGGCUAACCUGAACUACGACUGCAAGCAACUCUUUGAGGUGGCGCACACGAGUCCACAUAUUCACCAAUCAAUACACCACUAUGGAUCCACUCCCGUCUACCUACGGGAACGCCAUCCAUAGCACUCACGCUUAUCUUGCGCAUUUUAGAGUAUCCACUUCAAGUUAUCUAUGAACUGUACAGGCAACCCAGAAGUCCUUUACCGUGGACACGGCUAUUCGAAUAGAUAAUUUAUAACCCUGUAGGGGUGUACUUCUUCACACAAGCUCUCGCCACUUACCACCAUGUACAUGUCGUGUAUCUCGGCAACCUUCAAGCGGAAGCCUGGCGAGGGAGUCGGCCACGGCCUACCUAAACACUCAAGUCUCUAGUCCAGGUUUAUCGCCAAUUCAGGUUCCAUCCGCAGGGAGUCCGGCCAAGGUUUCUACAUACGGCCCUAAACGAUGUAUGCAGGGUUCCCGAGACACCAAACGGGUGCCCCAUACACCGUGCCACCUGCCUACCGCAUCACAGCCCACCCCUCGGGUCAGCGCUGCGCAUGGCCUCCAGCAUACUACAAACACCAGAAUCUACUUGCAACUCCUGGACAGAGGACAAGGGUGGUUAAGAAGCCGAGAGGGUCCAUUGGUUUCGGGCCCAAUGCAUGGUAGUAGCUGUUCAUGGAUCACAAACACAGAACUCAGUUCCUAAGGAUGGCUGCAAUGAAACAACCCACCAUGUACUCCUACAUGGCCUCUCAUCGAUACCUUUACCAAAUCGUGUUCACACACUUAGCUCUCAAAAGUAGGACAUGUUCACACACCUCCAAUUCAUUCCCGAUGAAUCAGACCUGACUCAACUCUAAGCAGUAGCAGGCAUGACAAACAAGCAUGAAUGAGUAGGCACAUCAGGGCUCAAACAACUCCUACUCAUGCUAGUGGGUUUCAUCUAUUUACUGUGGCAAUGACAGGUCAUGCAGAGGAAAGGGGUUCAACUACCGCAACAUGUAACAGUUGAAUCGUUGUUGUCCUAAUGCAGUAAAAGAGAGCAAGAGCGAGAGAGUGGGAUUGUAUCGGAAUGAACAAGGGGGUUUUGCUUGCCUGGCACUCCUGAAGAUAGUAUAGUUCUUCAUCGGUGUCAUCAUCUCAUCGUCGGGACCACGUCUACUAAGAGGGAACGAAUGCCGGCAACAGAGAAAAAACACAAUCAAUGCAAUGCAACAAUAUGAUGCAUGAAUAUGACAUGGAAAAAUGAGUGUGUUGGGCUAAUGCAUCUACAACCAGGGGGGUUUGAGCUCAUUUGAAUCAAAGAUUCAAAUACAAACCCAAGUUAUGGGUUUAUAAAGUGCAUUAACAUGUUUUGAGCUAAACAGCAAGUUUAAGUUGCUCUAACAUGCAUGAAACCAGUACAAAUGGAUAGAUUGGAUUUUUCUGAUCAUUUUUCAUAUAUAAUUUGUCUCAUUUGGAGUUACGGUUGAUUUUAUAUGAUUUUUAGAAGUUUUGGAUAUUUUCUAAAUUAAAUAAAUCAUUUCUGAUUUAUUUAAAAUCCCAGAAAGCAAUUACAGCGUCAGCACUACGCCAUGCUGACCUCAGCAGGUCAACAGCAGCGGUCUAGGUCAAACCUGACCAGUGGGGUCCACUGGUCAGUGACACAGUGAUGUUCAGUGUCAAUGAUAGGUGGGUCCGGUCAAUGGACACGUCAGCGCGGUCAAAGCUGACACGUGGGUCCACCGUGAUUAAGUUAAAACUAGACAGGAAAUAAACCCAGGGUUAAUUAAGCAUGGGGCCCAUCCGCAAGUGAGCUAGGGGGUUAGUUAGUGGCGUCAUUAGCGCUAAUUAAGUGUGCCAUGUCAGGUGCCGGCGUUUAACCGCCGGCGACCUCAGAUCGCGGCGGCGUCCGCGUCGGGAUUGCGCUACAGGCCACGGUUUGGGGCGUGGUUGGGUUAUAUAGAGAGAUGGGGCUGAGCCGCGUGUGUGGGUGGUGGAGCUGGACCAGAUGGUCGCUGGAAUCGACGCCAGCGACGAGGUUUGCGGCGGCCGUGGUUCGGCCAUGCUCGAGUUCCUUGCUAGGGUGUUCAGGAGGAGGAGCUGGUGGUGGCUACGGGUGCGCGAAGACACGCUGAGCAUGGUGGUGUGCUCAGCUUCGAGCGACAGUGGCUCUAGCCACGACGGCGACGGGGCACGGCGGCAGCGGUGGGCAGGGGGCUAGAGGAGGGAUUCGACGGCGGGGAAAGAAGGGUUGGGAGCAGGAGCUCACAGUGAUGCCGAAUUGGGGGUCAGCGAGCUCGGGGAGGUCCUGGCGGCGCCGAAUCGACCGGAGACGGCCUCGGGUGCCCGAGGUUGAAGACGAAGGCGAAGACGGCGUUCGGCGGCAUUUGGAGUCGCGUGAGUCAACAGAGAGGCGUAGGCGACGGUGGCGGAGCCCUUGGGCAUGUCGGAGAGGUGAGGGGGAGGCUCAGGGCACGGCCGUGGUGAGCGGCAGCGACGACGGCUCUCUGUCUCGCUUGGAAACGAGAGGUAGAGAAGGGGAGGAGGUCCAGGAAGAGAGGGGAAAGUGAGAGGGGAUCGAGGGGGUCACGUGGCGACGUCCAGGGCGAGGGGGAGCAGCUGCGUGGCUAGCAGGAGGUGGCCGCGCGCCACGCGCAACGCCAGUAGGCGCGAGGAAGACGACGCGCGAGGGGCUGGGCUGGGCCUAGCAGGCCGGCUAUCUACUGGGCCGCUAGUGGGCUGCCAGGUAAGGCCGGGUGAGUCCUCUCUCUCUCUCUCUCUCUCUCUCUCUCUCUUUUUAUUUGUUUCUGUUUUCUAUUAUUCCGUAAUUUUAGGGCUUUAAUAAAAAUACCAAAACAAUCUCAAAAUUCAUGAAACUGCUCAAGGCUACUGUUUGGAAUAAUUCCAACAUUAAACAUUUUAGUUCAUGAAUAUUUGGACAUUUAAAAUAUUAUAUAGCAUUUAAAUGCCCAAAUGCAAAUAGCAUAUGAUUUAAUUCAGUGACCUUAAGAUGACCUAGAAAAUUGUGAACCAAUUUUGUCAGAGGUUCUAACCCAAGACAAAAAUGAUGAACAUUUUAGAAGGGCAUUUCUGGUUUAUUGAAAAUGAUUUUAGUAAACCCUAGUUGGUUUCAGAGGGGG
Molecule: long non-coding RNA, 8324 nt
Filed under: Triticum aestivum (bread wheat)
Lineage: Eukaryota; Viridiplantae; Streptophyta; Magnoliopsida; Poales; Poaceae
Description: long non-coding RNA (TAES_LNC014178)
Source: RNAcentral